UACGUAGGGUGCGAGCGUUGUCCGGAAUUAUUGGGCGUAAAGGGCUCGUAGGCGGUUUGUCGCGUCGGGAGUGAAAUCCACUGGCUUAACUGGUGGCUUGCUUUCGAUACGAGCAGACUGGAGGUAUGCAGGGGAGAACGGAAUUCCGGUGGAGCGGUGAAAUGCGUAGAUAUCGGAAGGAACGCCGGUGGCGAAAGCGGCGGGCUGGACCUCUUCUGACGCUGAGGCGCGAAAGCCAGGGGAGCAAACGGG
This 252-nucleotide ribosomal RNA is filed under the name uncultured bacterium. RNAcentral's name for it is "partial 16S ribosomal RNA". It matches the Rfam family "Bacterial small subunit ribosomal RNA", at positions 524 to 776 of the family's 1533-position model. The record is from RNAcentral.